This 465-nucleotide ribosomal RNA is filed under the name Vreelandella stevensii. RNAcentral describes it as "partial 16S ribosomal RNA". It matches the Rfam family "Bacterial small subunit ribosomal RNA", at positions 338 to 795 of the family's 1533-position model. Lineage: Bacteria; Pseudomonadati; Pseudomonadota; Gammaproteobacteria; Oceanospirillales; Halomonadaceae. The record is from RNAcentral.
UCUACGGGGGGCAGCAGUGGGGAAUAUUGGACAAUGGGCGAAAGCCUGAUCCAGCCAUGCCGCGUGUGUGAAGAAGGCCUUCGGGUUGUAAAGCACUUUCAGUGGGGAAGAAAGCCUUGGGGCUAAUACCCUCGAGGAAGGACAUCACCCACAGAAGAAGCACCGGCUAACUCCGUGCCAGCAGCCGCGGUAAUACGGAGGGUGCGAGCGUUAAUCGGAAUUACUGGGCGUAAAGCGCGCGUAGGCGGUCUGAUAAGCCGGUUGUGAAAGCCCCGGGCUCAACCUGGGAACGGCAUCCGGAACUGUCAGGCUAGAGUGCAGGAGAGGAAAGUAGAAUUCCCGGUGUAGCGGUGAAAUGCUUAGAGAUCGGGAGGAAUACCAGUGGCGAAGGCGGCCUUCUGGACUGACACUGACGCUGAGGUGCGAAAGCGUGGGUAGCAAACAGGAUUAGAUACCCGAGUAGUC